Camelina sativa (false flax) is the source of this 991-nucleotide long non-coding RNA. RefSeq lists it as uncharacterized. The record is from RefSeq and is a predicted model, not a curated record. Lineage: Eukaryota; Viridiplantae; Streptophyta; Magnoliopsida; Brassicales; Brassicaceae.
UUCUUCCUCUUCCUCUCCCGAAAGACUCUCUCUUCUUCUUCUUCUUCUUCAAUCGACUAAUCAGUUAUACCUUACUCUAAAUCAACCAAAUUGAAUCGAUUAUCAAAUUAGUUUAGAGUUGUGGAUCUCGGCUUCCACCCUCCCUUAAUCUACAAAAUCAAGCGGGUACAGGUCUUGUAGUGAACCUUGAUUUUAUAGUCUAUAAAGAAAGAAAAUGCAGAAUGGUUUCUUCAGAUAUUCUCCCGUUGUGGAGGUUGGAGAGAUUGACACGAGUGCUCCUUUUCAAUCUGUUAAAGAUGCGGUUAACCUUUUUGGUGAAUCUGCUUUCUCAGCUGAGAAAGAGAAACCACCGGUUAUUCCGAAACCGAAUCCUUAGUCUGCUGAGAAAGUUUUGGUGAAGCAAACAGAGCUUCACUUGGCUCAGAAAGAGUUGAAUAAGUUGAAGGAACAGCUUAAGAGUGCUGAAACUAUCUGAGAUCACUGGCAUGGAAGAAUCUGCCAAGAAUUCACUCGUUUUGACCCUGAAUUUGCAAAAAAAGCUUGAAGUGCAGUUGACAGAGACAUACAACGAGAUCGAUGAGCUGCAGAAGCAAAUGGAGACUACGAAAGUAUCUGAUAUGGAUUCCGUUAAUGGUGUGAGUUUGGAGUUGAAUGAAGCUAACUUGUCGAAGAAAAGAAGUCUUUGCAAGAGUUAGUGGAAGGAAGCGGAGACUGCACAUCUGGCCACUGAACCAUCACCGCUACAACAUUACAAAGCUCCGAAAGAGAAACCUGUCCAUAAAAAACUGGAGAAGACAAAAACUUCAGUUGUACCAAAGAAAGUGCUAUAGCCGAAUCUCAGUGGAAUCUUUAACAGAAACAAGAAUCAAGUGGAAUGGGUUUCUCCUUCAUAUCUCUCUGGAGAGAAACCCUUUUGAUGAUUUCUUCUUUUUCAAGAAUUGAUCUUUUUGCUGUUGCGAACAAUCAAAAAAGAGGUGUGCUUUUUUUUUUU